Molecule: ribosomal RNA, 493 nt
Filed under: uncultured bacterium
Lineage: Bacteria
Description: partial 16S ribosomal RNA
Rfam family: Bacterial small subunit ribosomal RNA
Source: RNAcentral
GACGAACGCUGGCGGCGUGCUUAACACAUGCAAGUCGAACGGUGAAGCGCCGUCCUUUUUGGUGGGUGUGGAUGAGUGGCGAACGGGUGAGUAACACGUGAGUAACCUGCCCCCUUCUUCUGGAUAACCGCAUGAAAGUGUGGCUAAUACGGGAUAUUCUGGGUCUGUCGCAUGAUGGGUCUGGGACAGAUAUUGUUUCGGUGGGGGAUGGGCUCGCGCCCUAUCAGCUUGUUGGUGGGUUGAUGGCCUACCAAGGCGGUGACGGGUAGCCGGCCUGGGGGGGUGGCAGGUCAAGCGGGGACUGAGACACGGCCCAGAUGCGAAAGGGAGGAGGCAGUGAGGAAUAGCACAGGAUGGGAGCAUGCCUGAUGCAGCGACGGCGCGUGAGGGAGGCGGGCCGUGGGGUUGUAAGCCUCUUUCGCGAGUAAAGCAUGUCUGCCUCGUUUGGGGGUGGGUGGAGGGAAGCGGGAAAAGAGGCGCGGGCUAACUACGU